Molecule: ribosomal RNA, 909 nt
Filed under: uncultured bacterium
Lineage: Bacteria
Description: bacterial SSU rRNA
Rfam family: Bacterial small subunit ribosomal RNA
Source: RNAcentral
UACCUAAUGAAUAAGCUCCGGCUAACUACGUGCCAGCAGCCGCGGUAAUACGUAGGGAGCAAGCGUUGUCCGGAUUUACUGGGUGUAAAGGGUGUGCAGCCGGGCAUGCAAGUCAGAUGUGAAAUCUCUGGGCUCAACCCAUAAGCUGCAUUUGAAACUGUAGAUCUUGAGUGCAGUAGAGGCAGUCGGAAUUCCCUGUGUAGCGGUGAAAUGCGUAGAGAUGAGGAGGAACACCAGUGGCGAAGGCGGCUUGCUGGGCGGUAACUGACGGUGAGGCGCGAAAGCGUGGGGAGCGAACAGGAUUAGAUACCCUGGUAGUCCACGCUGUAAACGAUGAUUACUAGGUGUGCGGGGUCUGACCCCUUCCGUGCCGCAGUUAACACAAUAAGUAUUCCACCUGGGGAGUACGAUCGCAAGGUUGAAACUCAAAGGAAUUGACGGGGGCCCGCACAAGCAGUGGAGUAUGUGGUUUAAUUCGAAGCAACGCGAAGAACCUUACCAGGUCUUGACAUCCAACUAACGAAGUAGAGAUACAUUAGGUGCCCUUCGGGGAAAGCAGAGACAGGUGGUGCAUGGUUGUCGUCAGCUCGUGUCGUGAGAUGUUGGGUUAAGUCCCGCAACGAGCGCAACCCUUAUUAUUAGUUGCUACGCAAGAGCACUCUAAUGAGACUGCCGUUGACAAAACGGAGGAAGGUGGGGACGACGUCAAAUCAUCAUGCCCCUUAUGACCUGGGCUACACACGUAAUACAAUGGAGGUCAACAGAGGGAAGCAAAACAGCGGGGCAGGAGCGAACCCCAAAAAACAGUCUCAGUUCAGAUUGCAGGCUGCAACCCGCCUGCAUGAAGUUGGAAUUGCUAGUAAUCGUGGAUCAGCAUACCGCGGUGAAUACGUUCCCGGGCCUUGCACA